AUGUGUGCUGGAGGUGGCUUUCAGCCACAGCUGUCCCUUACCCCUGGUUGUCACUUCUGUGCUGUUUGUCGUAUGGGAUGUAAAGCAGUUAAUUGGUUCUUCAGCGUUCCAGGUCAUGCUGUGAGCCUCCCCUGCCCUCAGAUGCUCACAAAACUAGCUAACAUUGCUGAGCCAGGCCUGCUUCAGGUCUCCGAAGUGGUGUUUCUGAAAUGGUGUUUCACUCGCUGGAUGUCACAGAGGGCAGCUGGGCCCUCCUGCACGUUCCCACUUCCAACAUCCUUUUCUUGGGGCUGGGACCAUGAGCAAGUGCAAGCUUCCCAGCAUCAUCUGGGAGCUCCCUUCCACAGGAAAUACAAGACUCGAAAUGGAAUAGCUAGUAUUAACAAAAAAGUGGAUCACUGGACUGCUGGUGGGAUAUUUUCUGACAAUCUUUCAUCUGGUAUGCAAACACAGCUAGUGGUUUUCAUUUUACACGCAUCAUCCCCAAGCCUGGAUUCCAACUGCGCUUGCUGGAUGUCGGAACAGCCAUAUCAAAUAAUGCCUAAACUUAGCCUGGGAUCAGCUGUGAAUAUUGCACCAGAUGAAAAAGGCUUAAAAAAGCUGUCACGCAGAAAUAGCCUAGAAAGAUAUCACAGUGCUGCUCCGUGCCCAGGGCUGGGAGAUAAAUGACUUACCCUGCUUUGAAAGAAAAUGAGUACUUCUGAGCAGCAGCACUAAUGAGGCCCAUUCUCAUAAGGACUUGAGACUGAUCUCUCCUUGAUUUUCGGAUGUCUGAUAAGGGGUAAUAUUUCUGUUUCAGCUUUUCUUUUGGAGGGGGGAUAAUGGCCACCUAAUUUUCCUGAAAUAUGUAGAGUUUUAGUGCCUAUAAGAACUGUACACCUGUCAGAUCACCUAGAUCAACUCUUUUCUUUU
RNAcentral lists this long non-coding RNA (912 nucleotides) under Anas platyrhynchos platyrhynchos (common mallard). Its description in RNAcentral is "lncRNA (ENSAPLG00000025440.1)". Lineage: Eukaryota; Metazoa; Chordata; Aves; Anseriformes; Anatidae. The record is from RNAcentral.